GAGAGAGAGAAAAGGGAGAUAGAGGAAGGAGGGAGGGAGGGAGGGAGGGGUGGGUUAUUUCUGAGCUCAGGGCCGAGGAGGAUUAAAUGAGAGCAGUCCCAGCAGCACGAUGACAGCAUCCAGUGUGAGGCCAAACCCCCCACCAUUCGGGCCGACGUAGGUUCUCCCGAAUAAAUUAUUAACCUUAAACCUUAGAUAUCAGUGAUUUACUGCGAGAUCUACCCGAGACACCUAUUAUCCUCCCGUGGCUUCUAACAACACGAGGUGGCCCACCGGACCGCCAGUGAUCUCCAUGGUCACGAGGUCCCGCCCUCCACCUGUUUUCAGCCAAUCCUGGGGGGCCACUCCCCCACCCCGAGCUGAUGUCUCAGCGGGCCGGACGGAUUUUGUUUUCUGGGCUCUGGAAGAGACAAGCGAAGCCUGAACCUCGGUGAGUGGCGUUCUCUGUAAGGCCGCUAGGUCUUGAUGUGUGGGUGUCUGGUAUUAGUGUGCAGUGGUAUGGACUUAGACUGUUGUCUGCUUUCUUUGUGAAGUGGUUGGCAGAAGGCUGUCACCUUUCGUCAAUUACAAUGUUUCGUUAUUCAUUGCAACCUUUUAAAGAAUGUACUUAUUAUAAUUAUAAUAAGGGUCAGCUAGAUGGGAUUUAACUCUUUCGGCUGUGUUCUGAUCGUCCCGAUACAAUAGAUACGAUCCAAUUUUAAAGAUUAUUAAUCGUAAUUUUUUUUAAUCAGUUUAGGUCAAACGUAGAUGUAACCUUAUCACUUCAGCAUAGUACAGAAAUAGUAAAGUAUACUGUAAAUGAUGAGGUGCAAUGAGAACAUCAAUUCAAUGAACCAGCGUGUUUCUCACUCUCAAUCAAUCUGAGUCACGCUAAUGUUGCUUGACUAUUUGCUGAGUGCUUUUCUCUUCCUUAACCACCAAACAGGUUGAACUUGUUUAAUUCAUUGUAUGACUAUUUACCAUUACAAAUUUACAAUUAUGUCUAAUUAGGCUCUCUUUCUCUCUAACCCUGUUCUUAUUUUGUUAUCAACACAUUUCCUCCUACUGCUUGUGUUUGAAGUGGUUAAAGGUCUUACAACGGGGGUUCCUUGAAACAGUCCACUCAAAGAUAGAUCCUCCUUCAUGCUGCUUUACAUGAGGGCUAAUUCAGGGUCAUCUGUGGCAGCCUCGUAACAGACACAGAUACAGGGAAACAAGCAAUUAGACAAAGCUGUGCCUUCCCUUCCCCACAAGGCCCAUCUGGCCUGGUUCCAGAUACUGACCAUCACGCCAUCUCUGUGUACGUUGCCCGUCUCGGCGAAACGCGGAGAUAGCUUCAACCUAAAGCCCUCACAGUUUUGCAAGUCACAAAGUUGGGUUUGUGCAGUUGUGUAUCCGCAGCCACUGUCAUUGGAGCUGAGGACCUGACUCGGCAGGGGAAGAGAGAGGGAGAAACAGAGGGGGAGAGAGAGAGAGGGGGAGAGAGAGGGGGAGAGAGACAGAGAAACAGAGAGGGAGAGAGGGACGGAAGGGAGAGCAAGAUGGAGAGAAACGGAGGAAUGAGGAACACAGGAUUUACCUGAGUCAGCAGCACCGACCGCAGCAACGACACACAAUACACACACAUCACUGACACAUAUAAAAACACAAACACAAACACAUACACAAACACACAAACUAACACACACACACACACAAACACACAACAAACACACCCAAAUACAUAUACACACACACACACGUACACACACACACGUACACACACACACACACACACACACACUCUCUCUGUCUCUCUCUCUCUCUCUCUCUCUCUCUCUCUCUCUCUCUCUCUCUCUCUCUCACUCACACUCACACUCACACUCACAC
Gadus macrocephalus (Pacific cod) is the source of this 1848-nucleotide long non-coding RNA. RefSeq lists it as uncharacterized. The transcript is spliced from 2 exons. The record is from RefSeq and is a predicted model, not a curated record. Lineage: Eukaryota; Metazoa; Chordata; Actinopteri; Gadiformes; Gadidae.